UUCCGCUUGAUCCUGCCGGACCCGACUGCUAUCAGAGUGGGACUAAGCCAUGCGAGUCAGCGUAGAAAUACGUGGCGAACGGCUCAGUAACACGUAGUCAACAUGCCCAGAGGACGUGGAUAACCUCGGGAAACUGAGGAUAAACCAUGAUAGGCCAUGAUUUCUGGAAUGGUUUAUGGCUGAAAUCUAUAUGGCCUCUGGAUUGGACUGCGGCCGAUCAGGCUGUUGGUGAGGCAAUGGCCCACCAAACCUGUAACCGGUACGGGCUCUGAGAGGAGGAGCCCGGAGAUGGGCACUGAGACAAGGGCCCAGGCCCUAUGGGGCGCAGCAGGCGCGAAAUCUCUGCAAUAGGCGAAAGCUUGACAGGGUUACUCUGAGUGAUUCCCGCUAAGGGGAUCUUUUGGCACCUCUAAAAAUGGUGCAGAAUAAGGGGUGGGCAAGUCUGGUGUCAGCCGCCGCGGUAAUACCAGCACCCCGAGUGGUCGGGACGAUUAUUGGGCCUAAAGCAUCCGUAGCCGGUACUGCAAGUCUUCCGUUAAAUCCACCUGCUCAACAGUUGGGCUGCGGAGGAUACUACAGCGCUAGGAGGCGGGAGAGGCAAGCGGUACUCAGUGGGUAGGGGUAAAAUCCACUGAUCCAUUGAAGACCACCAGUGGCGAAGGCGGCUUGCCAGAACGCGCUCGACGGUGAGGGAUGAAAGCUGGGGGAGCAAACCGGAUUAGAUACCCGGGUAGUCCCAGCUGUAAACGAUGCAGACUCGGUGAUGGGCUGGCCUUGUGCCAACCCAGUGCCGCAGGAAAGCCGUUAAGUCUGCCGCCUGGGGAGUACGG
RNAcentral lists this ribosomal RNA (830 nucleotides) under uncultured archaeon. RNAcentral describes it as "bacterial SSU rRNA". It matches the Rfam family "Archaeal small subunit ribosomal RNA", at positions 1 to 840 of the family's 1478-position model. The record is from RNAcentral.